Dermochelys coriacea (leatherback sea turtle) is the source of this 747-nucleotide non-coding RNA. The record is from the annotation of a RefSeq genome assembly. Lineage: Eukaryota; Metazoa; Chordata; Testudines; Dermochelyidae.
AGCUUCCAUCUCUGGCAGCACCGGUUCUGAGGCACUUUAGAGAGUGGAGACCGCCGCUCCUGUGCGGCUAUUCAAAUGGGAGGCGCUCCACCGAAGAGACACAAUCGGCUCUUCUAAACCAUCAUCUGAGGGGGGAAAUUCUUCCCUUCGCUCCUCUGCAGAAACCACGAUCAAAGAGAAAGCAGUUCUUGCGGCUGGUGGCACCAGCUCUCCCUCCCUCCCUCCUUCCCUCCCUCUCUCUCCCUCUCUGUCUCUCUCGGUCCCACAUUCCAGGAAGACCCAAGGAUGCCUUUAUCUUGGGUCGCAGCUGUGCUGAUGCUGUCUGUUCUAAGACAGAGCAAUGGAGACUCAGUCAAGCAAACCAAAGGCAGCGUCCUGAUCUCCCGAGGAGAAUCUGUGGUUGUUAAUUGCACCUAUGAGGCUGUUUCUCCCUAUCUCUUCUGGUACGUGCAGUUCCCCAACCAGCCCCCCAGGCUCUUCCUGAAGGACCUGGGAAGGGAGGACUCGGAUGAAGGGAUCACCAAAGGGUUCAAUGCCACUCAUGACAAAAAGCACAAAUCCUUCCACCUGUGGAAACCAUCCAGCGAACUGAGCGACUCCGCGACCUAUUACUGCGCCCUGAGCGACACAGUGACACGAAGCAGCAGGGAAGUUGAGCAAAAACCUCCCAGGGGCGGUGGCAGGAAUCGCAGGCUCCUAGGAGCGACUUGGGGUGGAAGGAGGAGGAAUGCUGUAGCUCUCGAAAGC